This is a long non-coding RNA of Anoplopoma fimbria (sablefish), 389 nucleotides long. RefSeq lists it as uncharacterized. The transcript has 4 exons. The record is from RefSeq and is a predicted model, not a curated record. NCBI's taxonomy places the organism in Eukaryota, Metazoa, Chordata, Actinopteri, Perciformes, Anoplopomatidae.
GUCCUGACGCUCCGAUGGCGAUCUUGUUUCUCUCAGACUCGGGCAUGGACGGGUCUGAGGACAGACAGGUAGACAGGUUAGCAGAGAGACAGGUUAAGAGACAGACAGGUAGACAGGUUAAGAGACAGACAGGUAGACAGGUUAAGAGACAGGUAGACAGGUUAAGAGACAGACAGGUAGACAGGUUAGCAGAGAGACAGGUUAAGAGACAGGAAGACAGGUUAAGAGACAGACAGGUAGACAGGUUAGCAGAGAGACGGGUUAAGACACAGGUAGACAGGUUAGCAGAGAGACAGGUAGACAGGUUAAGAGACAGGUAGACAGGUGAGCAGACAGACAGGUAUUUACCCCAGUCAGUAACCAGAGGUUUACUCAGACUCAUGUGCUCC